RNAcentral lists this ribosomal RNA (465 nucleotides) under uncultured bacterium. RNAcentral's name for it is "partial 16S ribosomal RNA". It matches the Rfam family "Bacterial small subunit ribosomal RNA", at positions 28 to 507 of the family's 1533-position model. The record is from RNAcentral.
GACGAACGCUGGCGGCGUGCUUAACACAUGCAAGUCGAACGGAAAGGCCCCUUUGGGGGUACUCGAGUGGCGAACGGGUGAGUAACACGUGAGUAACCUGCCCUUGACUUCGGGAUAACUUCAGGAAACUGGGGCUAAUACCGGAUAGGAAUCCUUGCUGCAUGGUGGGGGUUGGAAAGCUUCGGCGGUUUUGGAUGGACUCGCGGCUUAUCGGCUUGUUGGUGGGGUAGUGGCUUACCAAGGCUUUGACGGGUAGCCGGCCUGAGAGGGCGACCGGCCACAUUGGGACUGAGAUGCGGCCCAGACUCCUACGGGAGGCAGCAGUGGGGGAUAUUGCAUAAUGGGCGGAAGCCUGAUGCAGCAACGCCGCGUGCGGGAUGACGGCCUUCGGGUUGUAAACCGCUUUCAGCAGGGGCGAAGCUUGUGGUGACGGUACCUGCAGAAGAAGCACCGGCUAACUACGUG